Molecule: ribosomal RNA, 253 nt
Filed under: uncultured bacterium
Lineage: Bacteria
Description: partial 16S ribosomal RNA
Rfam family: Bacterial small subunit ribosomal RNA
Source: RNAcentral
GACAGAGGUGCCGAGCGUUAGGCGGAAUCACUGGGCUUAAAGCGUGUGUAGGCGGAUCGUUAAGUACCUUGUGAAAUCCCACGGCUCAACCGUGGAACUGCUGGGUAUACUGGCGGUCUUGAGCCAUCUAGGGGCUACCGGAACAAGUGGUGGAGCGGUGAAAUGCGUAGAUAUCACUUGGAACGCCAAUGGUGAAAACAGGUAGCUGGGGAUGUGCCGACGCUGAGACACGAAAGCCAGGGGAGCGAACGGG